Molecule: ribosomal RNA, 439 nt
Filed under: uncultured bacterium
Lineage: Bacteria
Description: partial 16S ribosomal RNA
Rfam family: Bacterial small subunit ribosomal RNA
Source: RNAcentral
CUACGGGCCGCUCCAGUGGGGGAUAUUGCACAAUGGAGGAAACUCUGAUGCAGCAACGCCGCGUGAGGGAAGAAGGUCUUCGGAUUGUAAACCUAAGUAGUCAGGGACGAUAAUGACGGUACCUGAAGAGUAAGCUCCGGCUAACUACGUGCCAGCAGCCGCGGUAAUACGUAGGGAGCGAGCGUUAUCCGGAUUUACUGGGUGUAAAGGGUGCGUAGGUGGGUUUGCAAGUCAGGCGUGAAAUACCGAGGCUCAACUUCGGGGCUGCGCUUGAAACUGUAAAUCUUGAGUGAAGUAGAGGCAAGCGGAAUUCCUAGUGUAGCGGUGAAAUGCGUAGAUAUUAGGAGGAACACCAGUGGCGAAAGCGGCUUGCUGGGCUUUUACUGACGCUGAGGCACGAAAGCAUGGGGAGCAAACAGGAUUAGAUACCCUGGUAGUC